GUACACAAAAAUGCACAUAUUGUGAGCUCGAUGAGUAGGGCGGGACACGUGGUAUCCUGUCUGAAUAUGGGGGGACCAUCCUCCAAGGCUAAAUACUCCUGACUGACCGAUAGUGAACCAGUACCGUGAGGGAAAGGCGAAAAGAACCCCGGCGAGGGGAGUGAAAAAGAACCUGAAACCGUGUACGUACAAGCAGUGGGAGCCUCUUAAUGGGGUGACUGCGUACCUUUUGUAUAAUGGGUCAGCGACUUAUAUUCUGUAGCAAGGUUAACCGAAUAGGGGAGCCGAAGGGAAACCGAGUCUUAACUGGGCGUUAAGUUGCAGGGUAUAGACCCGAAACCCGGUGAUCUAGCCAUGGGCAGGUUGAAGGUUGGGUAACACUAACUGGAGGACCGAACCGACUAAUGUUGAAAAAUUAGCGGAUGACUUGUGGCUGGGGGUGAAAGGCCAAUCAAACCGGGAGAUAGCUGGUUCUCCCCGAAAGCUAUUUAGGUAGCGCCUCGUGAAUUCAUCUCCGGGGGUAGAGCACUGUUUCGGCAAGGGGGUCAUCCCGACUUACCAACCCGAUGCAAACUGCGAAUACCGGAGAAUGUUAUCACGGGAGACACACGGCGGGUGCUAACGUCCGUCGUGAAGAGGGAAACAACCCAGACCGCCAGCUAAGGUCCCAAAGUCAUGGUUAAGUGGGAAACGAUGUGGGAAGGCCCAGACAGCCAGGAUGUUGGCUUAGAAGCAGCCAUCAUUUAAAGAAAGCGUAAUAGCUCACUGGUCGAGUCGGCCUGCGCGGAAGAUGUAACGGGGCUAAACCAUGCACCGAAGCUGCGGCAGCGACACUAUGUGUUGUUGGGUAGGGGAGCGUUCUGUAAGCCUGUGAAGGUGGCCUGUGAGGG
Molecule: ribosomal RNA, 890 nt
Filed under: Escherichia coli
Lineage: Bacteria; Pseudomonadati; Pseudomonadota; Gammaproteobacteria; Enterobacterales; Enterobacteriaceae
Description: partial 23S ribosomal RNA
Rfam family: Bacterial large subunit ribosomal RNA
Source: RNAcentral